This 434-nucleotide ribosomal RNA is filed under the name uncultured bacterium. RNAcentral's name for it is "partial 16S ribosomal RNA". It matches the Rfam family "Bacterial small subunit ribosomal RNA", at positions 29 to 507 of the family's 1533-position model. The record is from RNAcentral.
AACGAACGCUGGCGGCAUGCCUAACACAUGCAAGUCGAACGAGACCUUCGGGUCUAGUGGCGCACGGGUGCGUAACGCGUGGGAACCUGCCCUUAGGUUCGGAAUAACUCCCCGGAAAGGGGUGCUAAUACCGGAUAAUGUCUUCGGACCAAAGAUUUAUCGCCUUUGGAUGGGCCCGCGUUGGAUUAGCUAGUUGGUAGGGUAAAAGCCUACCAAGGCGACGAUCCAUAGCUGGUCUGAGAGGAUGAUCAGCCACACUGGGACUGAGACACGGCCCAGACUCCUACGGGAGGCAGCAGUGGGGAAUAUUGGACAAUGGGCGAAAGCCUGAUCCGGCAAUGCCGCGUGAGUGAUGAAGGCCUUAGGGUUGUAAAGCUCUUUUACCCGGGAUGAUAAUGACAGUACCGGGAGAAUAAGCUCCGGCUAACUCCGUG